This is a long non-coding RNA of Megalopta genalis, 1837 nucleotides long. RefSeq lists it as uncharacterized. The record is from RefSeq and is a predicted model, not a curated record. NCBI's taxonomy places the organism in Eukaryota, Metazoa, Arthropoda, Insecta, Hymenoptera, Halictidae.
UCUCUCUCUCUGUGUGUGUGUGUGUGUGUCAGUGCACACGCCACGAUUCCAGCUGAUUUUCUAGGACUGUUCAGCCGACGCGACGCCUCGUUGAGGCUCGUUAAAACGUACGACGAUCGAUCAUAAGCGGCUGGCAUUGCGAGUCUAACAUCCACCAGUGCACCGCAGUAUAGCUUCUGGCUCCGUUUAACUUCAAUGGACAGAAAAUUACAGGAAAGUUCGAGAAACGCGGCUGAUCUAUCACGAAUCUACGAUAAUUGCAGCCGUCAAUCUUCAAAAACCUGUGUCGUCGAAAACUGGUUCUAUAACGAACGUCGCUACUUUGUUGAUAAGAAGACGUUUUUAUGAAAAAUAAAAAUUGUUUGAAACGUUAAUUGCCAGAUUUUAUCGAUGGCGACCGAUGAAGGGGCCGUGCCUGUUCCGACCGGAGAGGAAAACGGCAGACGUUAAAAGGAAAAUUUGUGUUGAAACGAGUAGCGCGCGCCGACGGAAAAUUCGUCGAGCUCCGAGCGGCGGCUCGAAGGGCGUUAGCAAGGUUAAGGUCACUGGCAAGGUCAGGGACUCCGUAGACCCGAUUCUCGUCGAGUGGAGAACGCCGGCCUACGCCUCCAUGUCGAAAGCCUCCCGGUAUUGAUCCCGUUUUCGCCCGGCAAACUCGACCAAUCCCAGCUGGCACAUCGCAUGGUAACCAACACGCUCCGACACAUCUUCCAGAAGAACCGGUGACCCGACUCGACCCGACCCGACCCGACCCGACGCGACCCGUCCCGCGCCGGUUGGCCUCGGGCCUCGCCUGAACCCGACAGAAAAUUUCGUGACAACCGCUAAUUAACGCCGCGAUUACCGGGCCACGUCGUUUACCCUGCCGAAUGAUUUUCUAUCACGCAAUUGUGUCCCCGAAAUUCACUGCUGGCGGCUCAAUCCCGCCGAAUUGUUCGACACCAUCGACGCUCCAUUAAUGUUCCUCCCGGUUAGUUUGCCCGCCAAAUACGCUUACUCGCGAUGCCCGAAACGGUACCGACAAAACAACUCCAUGCGAAAAGUUUACGAAACGUAGAACGAUGGAAAAACACACCGAUAAAUGCAAUUGGCCCGAUGAUUUACUACUCGCGGUCGGCUGAUUUGUUCUUUCGUUAAUCUGAUCCUCGUUUUCUGAACGUAGCUUUCGCGGCGGCUCACGAAAGUGCGCAAUCACCUUUGACCCUUUGCGCUGCGGCUGCCGGGGUCACUUUGAGCCGGAGUACGAAUUUAGAUCGUUCACAUUUUCGGUAAUUAAAUGAAUCGAAUUGCUGGUAUAUUAGGAACGACAGAAAGCAAGAAGCGUCUUCGAAAAUAUAUUUUCGAAAAUCGCUGUAUAUAGGUCAGAAUUGUUACAAGCAUCCUGUAAAAAUGGUCCGCCGUCCGAGGAUUAAAACGAAAUAACAUUUUUUAAAUUGGAUCGAAUAAUUUUCCUUUAGAUGUUAAAAGGACUAGUUCGUUAGACAAUAUCUUGGAAUGACGAUAUUUCUCUCCGACUUUUGCAUUCGAGUCCAGAACGAAAAGUUAAACAAUGCGUUUUGUAGGUGUUGGCGAGUUAUACGCAUACUACAGGCAUUGAACGACGGAAAAUUCGCCGGAUUUCUUACAGUUAUCGGUCGAAACUAUCGCAAAAUCGUAAAAGCUGCGAUUUUCGUAAUUUUUAAUUGUUUGCUCGUUGCAACGUUAACGGAUUUCGACAAUGGAAACAACGAUAUAUCGAGUAGACUAAUAAAUUUUAGAAACUCGUUUAUUAGGAGUUAAGGAUGUGCAAUGAUUUUGGGACUUGAAAGAUUGUAAUAAAGGCUUUUCAAACGCGUAA